Molecule: ribosomal RNA, 461 nt
Filed under: uncultured bacterium
Lineage: Bacteria
Description: partial 16S ribosomal RNA
Rfam family: Bacterial small subunit ribosomal RNA
Source: RNAcentral
AACGAACGCUGGCGGCAGGCCUAACACAUGCAAGUCGAACGAGCUGAGACCUUCGGGUCUCGAUGCUAGUGGCGCACGGGUGAGUAACGCGUGGGAACGUACCCUUUAGUACGGAAUAACCCAGGGAAACUUGGGCUAAUACCGUAUACGCCCUUCGGGGGAAAGAUUUAUCGCUAAAGGAUCGGCCCGCGUCUGAUUAGGUAGUUGGUGAGGUAACGGCUCACCAAGCCGACGAUCAGUAGCUGGUCUGAGAGGAUGAUCAGCCCCACUGGGACUGAGACACGGCCCAGACUCCUACGGGAGGCAGCAGUGGGGAAUAUUGGACAAUGGGCGAAAGCUUGAUCCAGCCAUGCCGCGUGAGUGAAGAAGGCCUUCGGGUUGUAAAGCUCUUUCGACGGGGACGAUGAUGACGGUAACUCAAGAAUAAGGAUCGGCUAACUACGUGCCAGCAGCCGCAGUAA